AUGAAGAUCAGGCUGUCUUUGGCUGCCGCUGCACUCUUUACUAUAUUACUGAAUUCAGUAGAGGCUCAAGUGGAGCCUCCUUCAGACUUGAAAUUUAAAAUCUUAAAUGAAAACACAGUGCAUAUGUCAUGGAGGAGGCCUUCGUCUCAGAUACAGGGCUACAGAAUACAAGUCAUAUCAGAUACAGAUUAUUUGAAAGAUUUCAGUCUUCCUGCCUCGGUCACAAACACAUCAAUCACGGAUUUAACUCCAGAUGUAGACUAUUCAGUGUCUAUCAAUUCAUAUGAUGGUGCGGAAGAAAGUAUCCCUAUCCUUGGACAAAUAACAAGUAAUACCGGUGCCAAAACAAAUCCAAUUGAAAUUCCAGAAAACCUGUUCUCAAGAUGGACAUUUCACAGUAAAUGUUCAGUGAGUGCUAUCGCGGAUCUGGUUUUCCUGGUGGAUGGCUCUUGGAGCGUGGGAAGAGAAAACUUUAAAUUCAUCCGGAGUUUCAUUGGGGCCAUGGCGGGAGCUUUUGACAUUGGAGAGGAUAAGACCAGAGUGGCUGUGGUGCAGUACAGCUCAGAUACCAGGACAGAGUUCAACCUGAACCAGUAUUACAGGCGGCCUGAUGUCCUGCGAGCCAUUAAAAAUCUGCCCUACAAGGGUGGUAACACCAUGACAGGUGAUGCAAUGGACUAUCUGGUGAAAAACACUUUCACUGCGGCGGCUGGAGCCAGGAAAGGCUUUCCAAAAGUAGCCAUGAUCAUCACGGAUGGAAAGUCACAAGACCCAGUAGGGGAGUACGCAGAACGCCUGAGGAACAUUGGAGUAGAGAUCUUUGUCCUGGGUAUCAAAGGAGCAGAUGAGGAUGAGUUAAAGGAGAUAGCCUCCACUCCCCACAGCAAGCAUAUCUAUAAUGUCCCAAACUUCGACAUGAUCAAUCAGUUGCAGCUGGAGCUCAUCACGCAGGUGUGCUCUGGUGUGGAGGAGCAGCUAAAUUUGCUUGCAAGCGGAGAGGAAGUUGUUGAACCAGCUUCAGACCUCAGAGUAACUGACGUCUCCUCCAAAUCCAUGAGAAUUAGGUGGGAUUCGUCUCCUGGUGACAUCACAGGCUAUAAGCUGCAGGUCUUCCCCAUGAUUGCUGGCGCCAAGAAGCAGGAGCUCUACACAGGGCCCACAUUCACCGUGGCCAAUGUCAGAGACCUGUCUCCUGAGACAGAGUAUGAGAUCAGUCUGUUUGCCCUCAAAGGUCUGACUCCUAGUAAGCCACAAGUUGUCAACGAGAAAACACAGCCUGUGAAGGUGUCUACAGAGUGCUCCCAAGAGGUCGAGGUCCAAGCUGAUAUUGUCCUCCUGGUCGAUGGCUCGUACAGUAUAGGACUGUCUAACUUUGCUAAAGUUAGAGCCUUCCUUGAAGUGCUCGUCAAUUCUUUUGACAUCGGACCCAACAAAGUGCAGAUCAGCUUGGUUCAGUACAGCCGGGAUCCACACACUGAGUUUGCCCUGAACAAGCACGAUGACAAUGCAGCUGUGCUCAAUGCAGUCCGCACCUUCCCCUACCGUGGAGGCUCCACCAACACUGGCAAGGCCAUGACCUACGUAAGGGAAAAGAUCUUCAUUCCAGCCCGUGGCGCUCGUGAUAACGUGCCCCGAGUCAUGGUGCUCAUCACAGAUGGUAAAUCCUCGGAUUCUUUCAAAAACCCUGCCAACAAACUAAGGGAUGCAGACGUGGAGAUUUUCGCCGUGGGAGUCAAGGACGCCGUGCGCUCCGAGCUGGAGGCGAUUGCCAACGCACCUGCUGAUAACCAUGUGUUUGAGGUGGAAGACUUUGAUUCCUUUCAGCGGAUCUCCAAGGAACUAACCACAUCCAUCUGUCUAAGAAUUGAGCAGGAGCUCCAUAACAUCAAGAAAAGAAGUUUGGUUCCACCAAAGUCGCUAAGCUUCUCUGAGGUCACCUCCAGAAGCUUCAGGACCUCGUGGAUUUCUGACGGAGAGGAUGUCCUGUCUUUUCUGGUGCGUUUCAGGCCAGCGGCUGACGUAACUGGAGACUACAUCUCUUUGGUGGUUCCUCCUGACACCACCACUACGAUUUUGCCCAAUCUCACGCCCCUGACCACUUACGAGGUUAAUGUCAUCGCCCAGUAUGAUAAAGGAGACAGUUUUCCUUUGACAGGCGAGGAGACGACUUUAGAAGGCUCUGUCCGUAACCUCGUGGUGAGUGAUGAGACCGUAGACAGCUUCCGCGUGUCGUGGAGAGCCGCUCCAGGAGCAGUGCUGAGGUACAGACUGUUGUAUGAGCCAGUGGGUGGAGGAGAUAAACUGGAAGCACAGACUGAUGGGAGUCAGGUCACCAUUGUGCUCCACGAACUGCUACCCGUCACCACUUACCGUGUCACAGUGUACCCCGAGUAUGCAAGUGGAAUGGGUCCCUCCAUGGACACUGAGGUCCGGGGCUCUCCACGUGACCUGAGGGUCUUCAACGAGACCGUGUCCAGCAUGAGGGUCUCAUGGCGGGCCGCUCCAGGCAAUGUGCUGCAAUAUCAAGUGGCCUACAAACCUGAUGGUGGGGAAAGAAAAGAAAUGUUUGUUAAAGGAGACGCAACAACGGCUUUGCUGAGAAAUCUGUCACCAGACACCGAGUAUGAGAUCUUCGUUAGUGCCCGUUACACCUCUGGCCUCGGAGCGCCACUGAUGGGAACAGGCACUACUCUGGAAGAACUCGGCUCACCUACGAAUCUGGUUACUUCAGAUGUCACUGAGAGCAGUUUUGUGGCAUCCUGGACUGCCGCCCCUGGCAACGUCCGCCUUUAUCGGGUCACCUGGAAAUCCCUCUUUUCAGAGGAAGCUGGCGAGAAAACCGUCCCCGGGGACAUAACCACCACUGUUCUGGACGGACUGACUCCGGAGACCCGCUACAAGGUUUCUGUCUACGCUGCCUACAGCAGUAAGGAGGGAGAGCCACUCCAUGGAGAGGAGACCACAGAUGGUAAAGUUCUUACGGUUUCAGAAGAAACAGAGAGGACCAUACGAGUAACAUGGCAGCCAGCACCUGGCAAUGUUGUCAAUUAUAGGGUAUCGAAUAAACCUCAGGGUNNNNNNNNNNNNNNNNNNNNNNNNNNNNNNNNNNNNNNNNNNNNNNNNNNNNNNNNNNNNNNNNNNNNNNNNNNNNNNNNNNNNNNNNNNNNNNNNNNNNNNNNNNNNNNNNCUUCUCUCUUGCAUUUUUCUUAUAUAUAUAUAUAUAUAUAUAUAUAUAUGUAUAUGUGUGUGUGUAUAUAUGUAUAUACUGUAUAUAUGUGUGUGUAUAUAUUGAGUGUGUUUGGUAUGUUUGAUGGAGGAGAGAGUAUGCCACUGGCUGGAGAGGAGAAGACCACCCUCUCUGACGCCCCUGAACCCCCACCCUUUGAUAUUUCAGAGGUAAUGUGCAAAACCACAGCCCAGGCCGAUAUCAUCCUGCUUGUUGAUGGAUCUUGGAGCAUUGGUCGUCUGAACUUCAAGACUAUAAGGUCUUUCAUUGCUCGCAUGGUGGGUGUCUUUGACAUCGGGCCGGAUCGUGUCCAGAUCGGUCUGGCACAAUACAGUGGAGACCCAAAGACUGAGUGGCACCUAAACUCUCACAGGACCAGAAAAGAGCUGCUGGAUGCCGUGGCCAAUCUACCCUACAAAGGAGGAAACACUCUGACUGGCCUUGCUUUAAACUACAUCCUUCAGAACAAUUUCAAGGCUAAUGUUGGAAUGCGUCCGAACUCUCGGAAGAUCGGCGUCCUGGUUACUGAUGGCAAGUCUCAGGAUGACAUCAUGGUCAACUCUCAGAACCUACGCGACCAGGGCAUUGAGCUGUAUGCCAUUGGUGUGAAGAACGCAGAUGAGAAUGAGCUGAGAUCCAUUGCUUCAGAUCCCGAUGACAUCCACAUGUACAAUGUGGCUGACUUCUCCUUCCUGCUGGACAUCGUGGACGACCUGACAAACAACCUAUGUAACAGUGUCAAGGGUCCAGGUAUCACUGAGCCACCCACUGAUCUAACGACCUCAGAAGUGACCCAUUACUCCUUCCGCGCCACCUGGGUUGCCCCUGAUGGACCCGUGGAGAAGUACAGAAUAGAGUAUGUGAGCAUCGCAGGAGGAGAACCACAAAAGUUGCUUGUCGACGGGACGGUGACGACUGUGGUCUUGGAGAAUCUCACUCCGCUGACGGAGUACAUCGUGAAGGUUCACUCAGUGGUGGGAGAGGACAGCAGCGACCCCCUCAAAGGCUCAGAGACGACAUUUACUGACGUCCAGCUGAAGAAACUUCGUCCCAACACGGCCUUCAGAGUUUCCGUCUUCGCCCUGUUCGGCGAUUUUGGCUUUCUUCCCCUCAGCAGGGAUUUGAGGAUCACAGACGUUACCCACAGCACCAUGCAGCUGGACUGGGAUCCAUCGCCCGGUGCCGUUCGUAAAUACAUAAUCACUUACAAGCCAGAGGAUGGAGAGUCGAAGGAGCUUGAAGUUGACGGAGAUGUAAUGUCUAGAGGACUGGAUAAUCUCAUUUCCCAAACGGAAUACGAUGUGGCUGUCACUCCUGUGUAUGAUUCUGGGACCGGAAACCCAAUGCUUAACCAAGCCAUUACAGACGUUGUCCCUGCCCCGAAGAAUUUGAGGUUCUCUCAAGUGACCCAGACCAGUUUCAGGGCUCACUGGGAGCACGGCGCUCCUGAUGUCUCCCUCUACCGCGUCGGCUGGACCAAGAAUGAACUUGACGAGGACACCACUCUCCUUCUGGAGAACCUGGAGCCAGACACCCUCUAUGAUGUUUCUGUCACUGCCAUUUACCCCGAUGAAUCUGAGAGCGAAGAUCUUCUGGGCAGCCAACGCACAUCUCCUAGUGGACCUCCUCAGAACCUCCAGGUGUUCAAUGCGACUACCACCUCCCUCACCACCAAGUGGGAUCACGCUCCUGGACGAGUGCAGAACUACAGGAUCACCUACGUACCGGUUGCAGGAGGAAGAUCACAGUCGAUUGGAGGGAAGAAAAACACAGUUAAUCUGCAGAAACUGACUCCAGACACUCCCUACUACAUCACAGUUGCUGCAGUCUAUGCGAAUGGAGAUGCCAAAGACAUUUCUGGCCAAGGAAAGACAUUACCACUGGGCAGUGUGAGAAACCUUCAGGUCACGGACCCCACGGUCAGCACUCUGAAUGUACGCUGGGAGCCGGCUGAAGGGAGCGUACGGCAAUACAGGAUUUACUACCAGACCGUCACAGGGGGCGCAGAAGACAUGGUCCAGGUUCCUGGAAGCACCACCAGUACAGUUCUGAAGAACCUGCAGUCUGAUACUGAGUACACAGUAACAGUGGUGCCAGUAUACGCUCCUGGAGAGGGCAAGCGCAUGUCGGAGAACGGAAAAACCUUGACGCGUACCCCUGCCAAGAACAUCCGGGUUUACAACCCCACCACAAACACCCUGAAUGUGCGCUGGGAGCCGGCCUCCGGAGAUGUGCUGCAGUACCGCGUCGCCUACACCCCCCUCUCUGGAACCCGUUCCGCUCAAUCUGUGCUCGUUCCAGGGAACACCCACACUGCCUUGCUGCAGCAGCUCGAUUCAGACACAGACUAUGCUGUGAGUGUGGUGGCUCUGUAUGCUGACGGCGAGGGCUCCUCUGUGUCAGAUAAUGGAAAAACAAUGCCCCGCGGCGGCCCUAGGAACCUGCGUGUGUAUGAUCCGACCACCAGCACGCUGUCUGUCAGCUGGGAGCAUGCAGAAGGACCCGUGCUGCAGUACCGCAUUGGCUAUGCACCCACCACUGGAGAUCCCAUUGAGGAGUUUACAAGUGUCCCUGGCAACAGGAACUCUGUCAUCUUGCAAAACCUGCAGCCAGACACUCCGUACAACAUCAACGUAGAGGCUAUUUAUCAAGAUGGGCCUGGAGGACAACUGUCUGGAGAUGGAAAAACAUUGGGUCUCUUGGAGCCUCGUAACCUGCGUGUUUCUGAUGAGUGGUACACUCGUUUCCGAGUGUCCUGGGAUCCUGUACCUGCGCGGGUCAACGGUUAUAAUCUGGUCUAUACCCCAGUGGGCACGGAUAACACCAUGGAAGUGUUUGUUGGAGAUGUUACUACACACAUCCUGCACAACCUCCAGCCUGGCACCACGUACGACCUGAAGGUUUACGCUCAGUAUGACGCAGGCGUGAGCGGCGCUCUGGUCGGACAAGGAACCACCUUGUACCUUAAUGUGACUGACCUCACCACAUACAAUGUCGGCUAUGACUCCUUCUGCAUCAGAUGGACGCCUCACCGAGCCGCCACCUCUUACAGGCUAAAACUCAAUCCUUUCAAUUCGGCUAACCGUGGGGCUCAGGAGGUCACUAUCACUGCCGCUGAGAGCCAGUACUGUUUUGAUGGGCUGACGCCAGACGCGCUGUACAACGCCACAGUCUACACACAGACCCCCAACCAGGAGGGGCCCGGAGUCAGUGUCAAAGAGCGCACACUGGUGAAGCCCACCGUAGCCCCAACACCACCUCCAACUCCUCCACCACCACCCACCAUCCCUGCUGCACUCGAGGUGUGCAAAGGAGCCAAGGCUGACCUGGUGUUCCUGAUCGACGGCUCGUGGAGCAUUGGAGAUGACAGCUUCAUUAAAGUCCGUCAGUUUCUCUUCAGCAUGAUCGGAGCAUUUGAUGUCAUCAACCGUGAUGGCAUGCAGGUGUCUUUUGUGCAGUACAGUGAUGAAGCUAAAACUGAGUUCAAACUGAACACCUACCACGACAAGGGAAUGGUGCUGUCCGCCCUUCAGAUGGUCAAAUACAGAGGAGGAAACACCAAAACAGGUGCUGCGCUGAAGCAUAUCGGAGACAAAGUGUUCACAUCAGACAGUGGUAUGAGGAGAACCGUUCCCAAGGUUCUGGUCGUAGUAACUGACGGCCGUUCUCAAGAUGAUGUGAAGAAGAGUGCUGCUAAACUACAGCAUGCAGGCUUCAGUGUGUUUGUGGUGGGUGUCGCAGACGUAGACACCGCUGAACUCAGGAACAUUGGAAGCAAGCCCAGCGAGAGACACGUCUUCAUCGUUGAUGACUUUGACGCGUUUACUAAGAUCCAAGACAACCUCAUUACAUUCAUCUGUGAAACGGCAACAUCCACUUGUCCUUUGAUUUACCUCGACGGAUUCACAUCCCCAGGCUUCAGGAUGCUGGAAGCCUUUAACAUCACUGACAAGACGUUUGCUGGCAUGAACGGCGUCUCCAUGGAGUCUGGCUCCUUCAACAGUUACAUUGCAUACAGACUCCAUAAGGAUGCAUUCAUUUCCCAGCCCACAAAGGAAAUCCAUCCAGAUGGUCUUCCUCCCGCAUACACUCUGAUUCUCCUCUUCCGUCUCCUCCCCGACACCGGCAAGGAUGCAUUUGAUAUUUGGCAGAUAUCAGAUAAGAACAACAACCCUGAGGUCGGGCUCACCAUUGACCCCUCCAGUAGAAUCAUCUCAUUCUACAAUAAGGACUCCAGAGGUGAAAUUCAGAAAGUCUCCUUUGAUAACGACCGAGUGAAGAAAGUUUUCCACGGCAGUUUCCACAAGCUUCACAUUUCUAUUUCACCGAAAAAUGUCAAACUCAACAUUGACUGCCAAGAGGUGGCUGAGAAAGAGAUCAAAGAGGCCAACAACAUAUCCACAGAUGGCUAUGAAGUCCUUGGAAAAAUGGCAAAGUCUGGCGGUUCAAGGAAGCAGUCAGCCACAUUCCAGCUCCAGAUGUUUGAUAUUGUCUGCAGUUUGGGCUGGACAAGUCGAGACAAAUGUUGUGAUAUUCCAGCAAUGAGAGAUGAAGCCAAAUGUCCCGCUCUUCCUCACUCCUGCACAUGUGCUCAGGACAGCGUUGGUCCUCCAGGCCCCGCGGGCCCUCCGGUAAGAUCAUUAGAGUCCCAUGACAUUUCCUCUGGUUCAAUGGGCCCACGUGGGGAGCAGGGUCUGCCAGGACAAAUGGGACCACCAGGUCCACAGGGCCCUAAUGGACUGUCUCUUCCUGGUGAACCAGUAAGUAAAGCACAAAACUCUGUCCAUUGCCAUUUGUCAAAUUUGUAUCGCCCCUUACAGAAUAUAAUUAAUACUGCGUCACAGAAUAUGAUGCGCUCUGUAGCAAGACAAGUCUGCGAACAACUAGUCAGCAGUAAGGCACUUCAAAAUAAUAACAAAAAAUAUUCCAGUCACUGUUGCAGGCGAAGUAAAGGAUGCUUUCUUACACCUCCUCUCUUUCCAGGGCCACCGGGGCAGUCUCAGAUAGGACCCCCUGGUCCCUCAGGCUCAGCGGGGCCCCGGGGCCCACCAGGGCAGCAGGGUGGACCCGGAGUCAGAGGACCACCAGGACCUCCAGGAUACUGUGACUCCUCUCAGUGUGUAGGCAUCCCUUACAAUGGACAGGGUUACCCAGGUAAGCACAGUACAGUUGAGUGA
RNAcentral lists this long non-coding RNA (8403 nucleotides) under Sinocyclocheilus anshuiensis. RNAcentral's name for it is "lncRNA (ENSSANG00000027029.1)". The record is from RNAcentral. Lineage: Eukaryota; Metazoa; Chordata; Actinopteri; Cypriniformes; Cyprinidae.